AUGGGGCAACAAAAAACAAUUCGAUCGCUGCCCAUUAGGCUAACCUCCAUCGGCCGCGGGUCACCGUACAACCAGAUCGAUCCAGGUGAGAGAGAGAUGGCAGUCUAUCCAGCCCCCGCGGGCGAUGCGGGCAACAAGGGGAUCAGUCGGUCCAACCGACACAGGCGAUUAGUCUGCUACAGAAUGGAGAAAGGAGGGAGAGGAUCCAGCCGACGCAGGCGAUUCAUGCCGAUGCUUCGUCUGAUCAGAACUGCUCCAUCGAGAUUUCAAGAUGUGGUCAUUCUUCAGUUUAUGUUCUGA
This 300-nucleotide ribosomal RNA is filed under the name Triticum aestivum (bread wheat). Its description in RNAcentral is "partial small subunit ribosomal RNA". Lineage: Eukaryota; Viridiplantae; Streptophyta; Magnoliopsida; Poales; Poaceae. The record is from RNAcentral.